Ruditapes philippinarum (Manila clam) is the source of this 5815-nucleotide RNA transcript. It is a transcript of the gene named protein bicaudal D homolog 2-like, with no coding region annotated. Lineage: Eukaryota; Metazoa; Mollusca; Bivalvia; Venerida; Veneridae. The transcript is spliced from 6 exons. The record is from RefSeq and is a predicted model, not a curated record.
ACGUGACAGCAAUUAUUUACAUAAAUUAAAAAUGGAGGACAGAACGUGAGUCAACGUCAAAAUUACUUCCAUCCGUACUGGAUUUUCUUGAUUUUCGUACUGUUUCGAAAGAUUCCUGCCACAAUGUCCAAACCGGACGCUAGUUCGAAUUCCGUUGAGGAGCUUCAAAUAGAACUCGCUCGUUUGCAGCAGGAACUAACGGAGACAAACCAAGAAAAAAUCCGAGCGGCAGAAUACGGAUUGGCCGUCCUUGAGGAAAAACAUCAACUCGAGAGCCAUAUAGAGGAGCUAGAAGCUGAAAGAGAUCAAAUUAAAACUGAGUUAGAACAUGCUAAAGAGACCCUCAGUACACAUCAAGGGAUUUUUAAAAAACAGAAUGAAAGUGGAAUCAAUCUCGAGGACAGUAUUAUACGUGAGUCAGUGUCGCGUGAGCAGGGAUUCCAGGAGAAUAUUCAGGGUCUUGAAACUGAGCUUAAAACCUGCAAACAGAAUCAUGAGAGACUCUCUUCUGAGCACACUGUCAUGGCAAACCUGGUUUCUGAGCUACAGACCAAAUGUGAUCAGCUGGAGGACCAGAGAAGGCAGUUAAAGAGUGAACUGAAAGAGUAUAAGAUAAGAGAGAAUAGGAACAUUGUGGACUAUUCUGAAUUGGAGGAAGAAAACAUAUCUCUACAAAAGCAAGUGUCUGUGUUAAAACAAAGUCAGGUUGAAUAUGAAGGGUUAAAACACGAGAAGAAAAGAUUGGAAGAAGAGCUAGAUGAUUUGAACAUGCAGUUAGAUGAAAGUGUUUCUUUGAAAAAGAUUGUUGAUAAAAAUCUUGAAGAGGCAUUGAAUGCAUUGCAAGUUGAAAGAGAGCAGAAGCAUGCCUUAAAGAAAGAACUUGAUGCUAGACUAACACAAGAAUCUAUGUUUAAUUUGAGUAAUUUAGCUCAGCUUGGUGGUCUCAGUGAUGGUUUAAGAUUAAACAAUCAUGAAGGUGAUGUAGAUGAGGAAGAUGGACAUCCUGCACUGAAAAGAGUUGAAGCAGACUAUGAACACAAAGAUGAAAAUCAGCCUGCUAGAAAAGGCCCUGGUAAAGUCAAUGAUAUUCUUAGUGAAAUUCAACAAAAUGAAGUGAAAAAAUUGGAACAAAUGCUUGAACAGAGUGAAGAAGAAAAAAUUGAAUUGCAAAGGGCAUUGGAUGAAGCAAAGAAAUUAAUUGAAGAUACACAAUCUGAUCUUAUUGAACAAAAAGAUAGAGCAAAUCAGUUGAAAACACAGAUAAGUGCAGCUUUGGCAAAUGGUAGUCUUGAUUCCUCACCAGACAGUGAUAUGACAGAUUAUUUAGAUGAACAGAUUGAAAACGAAUCUGAUCAAGGAAAGAAAGCCUUGUUAGAGAUGAAGAAAAAUUUACUUAUGAAUGAAAAGAAAUAUUCCUCUGCACUAAAGCAAAUCAAUGAUCUUCAGUCUGAAAUAAGUAAUUUGAUGGAUAAAAACAAACAAGGAAAUCUAAAAGAAGGUGAUCCUGCCAUUACUGAAAUUCUUAACCAGCUUCAAGCUAAGGUGAAACAAUAUGAGGAUGUUGUUAAAGACAUGAACAAAGACUUGAAAUCAAUGACCAAGAUUGCUGGUGAAUCACAAGGCUCUUUGAACAUGACACAGGAGGAAAUGUUGAAAGUAACUGAGGAACUUGCCCAACUUUAUCAUCUUGUGUGUGAAGUAAGUGGAGAAACACCAAGCCGUGUUAUGCUUCAGCAUGCUAAAGCUAUUGACAAACUGUCCAAACAAGACUCAAGGGAAGGAGCUGAAGACCAAGGGGAAAAAGAAGAAGGUGGUACUGAAAAGGAAAGUGGUAAAAAGAAAAGGUCCAAAUCUAAAAAGAGUAGAUCUGAAAGUUACGAGGACUCUGUAAAAGCUGAUGCUAACUCCUGUCAAAAAUUAACAGAAACAAUUCUUGACCAGACAAAACAUCUGAAGAAGUCUGUUGAACAUCUGAUGGAAGUUUCUAGAAAUAGAACUGAUGAUAAUGAACAGUCAGAUGCUCAAGAAUUACAGGAACAGAUCGUCAAGCUGAAGGCAAUGUUGUCAACUAAGAGAGAGCAGAUUGCAACAUUAAGAAGUGUUCUUAAAGCCAAUAAAUCAACAGCUGAAUUUGCUUUGGCAAACUUGAAACAAAAGUAUGAAAAUGAAAAAGUUAUAGUAACAGAAACAAUGUUGAAGCUAAGAAAUGAACUCAAAGCAUUAAAAGAAGAUGCUGCCACUUUCGCUUCCUUAAGAGCUAUGUUUGCCCAACGUUGUGAUGAAUAUGUCACCCAGCUUGAUGAAUACCAACGUCAACUUGCUGCCGCAGAAGAAGAGAAGAAGACCCUGAAUUCCCUCCUACGAAUGGCUAUCCAGCAGAAACUCGUGUUGACACAGAGACUAGAGGAUUUGGAAUUCGACCGAGAGAGACGGAACAUGCGUAGACCGCAAGGAGGCGGCGGUAGAAACAAGUCUGGCGCUUCCAAAGUAAGUCACUACAAUGAUGAACAGUCAUAUAGUGGUCGCUAUGGGGGAGGCAGACACCAUAACUAUCAAAAUCAUCAUAGCCAUUCAAAUCCAAGACGCGACUAUUAGAACUUGAAUCCUCCAUCCCUGCAACUACCAGUUUAUUUUAGGGUAUUUGGGAGCAUGCUUGAUAGACUUAACUCACAAUAAAAACAGGAACAAUGCUUUUCAUUCCCGGGAAGUUGCUCAAGUUCCAGAGCAAACAUAAUGACCACAAGUAUGGAAUCAACUAACGGAACUUUGUAAUUGCUGAACAGACAGAUAUAUUGCAUUUUAAGUUUCGUCCAGAAAUUCGUGCUGAUGUGACAGGGUUAACCAAAGAAUUUGAUUGGCUCUCGAGUAUUCUCAUUGUCUCACAUUGUAUCCAAAGAUUUCAUCCGCCAUAAUGAUAUUAAUUAGACUGCAAACUCUUUAUUACUUGUGGUCAGGACAUUUCAUUGUUGCUACCUUUAUUACAGUGAACUUGUGCUUCAAAUGUUGAUCACACUUUCCCAUAAGUUAGGGAAGCCGUCCCGCAGAGCGAGAAAGCAAUGUGAAGGGAGAAGUUAUUUCGAGGGAUAUAAUUUGAUGAACUCUGACCUUAAGAUAUGAAAGAUAAAGGUCAUGGAACUAAAGGUGAAGGUUACAGUUGUCAUGGAAGCACAGUUCAGACUGGGGGUAGCAACAGAACAGAGCCAGUGCAUUUUGUAGUCAUGUCACCAUGUUUUAUUUAAACAGCUGUUUCGGUAUACCGAAAAAACUGUUUGAUUUUAUAAAUAUAUAUCAUUAAACUGUUUUGUGUUGUGAAAGAGUAAUCAGAAAAUGUACCAACAUUUUGGGGGUAAUAGAGCUAAUGGUAACCGAGUUAAUAUAAGUGCACCAUUCAGAAAGUUUCCUUUUAUUUCGUAUUUUAACACUUAUUCAUUUUGUAAAGGGCUUAUAAGUAAAUUGCUUUUGAAUAUAGCAUUUUCUGUAGAAAUAACAGAAUGGUGUAAUGUUUAAUAUCAUCUGAAAACUUGGAUCUUGAGUCAAAGUUUAUAGAUAAAACGAUAAAAUGGUGUGUAAAAAUUAUAUAUAAUAUAAACUUUUGAGGAGGAUGGAUGAUUAAAGUUGAACCUUUUAUUUGAGAUUACUUUAAAGUGUAUGAGAAUUGUCAUUUCUUAUUCCCAUUGUUGUAUAUAUAAACAUUUUUAAAACAUGUUAUUUUAUAGAACUGCAGGUCUGUGAUGUAACUAUAUAUAUCUAUAGCAAAUGUUUUUAGUUAAUGGAACCCUGAAUUUUAUGAAAAUAUUUAAAAGAUAAUGACAUUUUUAACUAAAAGUUUAACACCUUUUAUUUUAAUUCUUAUAGACAUUGACAGAAAUAAUUUAAAGUUUAAAAGGGAUUUGAUUUUUUUUUAAAGGGAAUUUUUAGAAUAAUCAGUAAGUUGUUAUUAUGUUUUUUGUUACAAAUAAGCGGGUUUUUAAUUAAUUGGUGCAAUUAUAUGAAAAAUAAGGUUCAACCCUUAAAGUGUUAAGAUUUUUGGUCAAUUCUCUUAUAUUGCAUAUCUAAAUUUUUAAUUUCUUCCUUUUUCUUUUGUUUUGAAAAUAAAAUCAUUAGAUGAUUUCAUAAAGGUGCUUUUCAUGUUUUAAGUUGCAUGUAUUUAUCAAAGCUUUUAUUUAUCUACUCUGACAUUUUGAAAAUAAGAUAUUUGAAUUAUUUAUUCUGUAUUAUGAUAAUAGCUUUUAAAACACACAAUUCAAAACAUAUUUUACUAUAAGCCAAAAUAAUGCAUUAUCAAUGAAGUUAGGAAACCUUCAACUACUGGUAUGAAAUUUCAUCUUGGCUUUUUAAAACUUGUUCUAAUGGUAAUAUAAUGAUAUAUAAAAAUAUAUAAAAGGAAUUGUUAAUGAAUUUUUACUGUACUUUAAUGGAUGUUUUAUGCAAAACCAUGGCUUUUGGAAUAUUUUUUCUGUGAUAAAUAUAUUUAAAGUUCCACCAACCUUUACCUAUUAUAGUCUCAUCAUAUGAGAAACCUUUUAUCUUAUUUAUAUUAUAAAAAAUACUGUGUAACAGUUGCUUUUUAACUACUGACAAAUAUGUCCUUAAAAAAUCAACAACCAAAAUUACACAUUUAUUAUGACUUCAAUUUCUUUUUUAUUUCUAUAUUUUUUUUGUAAAUUUUUUAAAAUUACAUUCGAAUUUUUAUGCUCUGAUAUUACAAAACUGGUGUUCAGUUGUAUGUGUUCUUGAAAUCUUUAUCUGCUGGUAUCUUGCAUCUGAUUGGUUAUUAGAUUAUUUUGCUGAAUUCUGAUUGGUCAAGUGAUUUUGAAUUGCUGAAAUUUGAUUGGUUAUCUGAAAUUUGAGUUCUGUAGCUUAUUUCUGAUUGGUUUAAAUGAUUUGAAAAUAUGAUAAUGAGUUAAUGUUGCUAUAUAAGGCUACCUCAAGAUGUAUAUAUUGAAUUUUGAUGUCAUAACACUAAAUUUUUGAAAGAAGGAAAAUUAAGACAAAUACAUUACAACAAACAGCUUAAAGGAUGAAUAGGAUUUAAUAAAGAAUUAUUUAGUUUACAAUUAACAAUUUUUGACUGUCAAAGAAACUUUCUGUAACAAAAGGAGUAAAAAAGACAACAAAAAUUAAAGCCAAAUCAGUUGACCAUUGGAUUAUUUUUUGUACAUUGACAUGUGUUUUGAAUUAUUAUUUUGACCUAAUUUAUUAAAGAUUGAGGACUUGUACAAAGAUGUCUGUUACUUAUGCUACAAUUGUAUAUCUAUAGUUAAAUAUCUUAGAGUAUAACAUUUUAUGGUGGAGAGUUGGAGCUUCGUUUAUGGGAAAUUAUUAAAUUAUAUGAUAAUUUUCCUAAAAAAAAAAUUGUGCUGAUUAUAUCUUUUAUGCUUUAGUUUUGUUUAAGUUCUAUAUUUUAUUUUCAGUUGAGGGUUUAUGAUUUUAAAAGUGGAAGAAAAAAAUUCUUAUGUUACUAUUUUAAUUGCAGUGGUAGCAAAUGUAAAUAUAUAUAUGCAAUGUUUUUUUUAUACAUUAUGAAAUUUCUAUUUUAGCAUUUGUAUGAAAUUGAUUUUCCUCUACUUUUUCUCUUAACUUUUUAAAAAGUCUUCAAUGGAAAUUGUUUAUUUUAAUUUUUAUUCUAAAAAGUUAUUUUCCUUUAGGCUUUGAAUUGCAAAAAUUGCAUCAAUUGUCAAAAGUAAAAAUCCGAUGGCAUUGUUUAAGUGUAUGUUGAAUGUAUGUAACUAUGUAAGCCUGCAUGUUGCUACUUAUUAUCAUAUUUCUAUGCCGUGUCAAAGAUUACAGAAAAAUAGAUGAAAAUGAACUUUUU